UGUAAUAUUGUGACUAAUUAAUUGCCGGAGUAUGUUGUCAACACAAUGCUGGCCCAACAUUGGGCCAAUGUCAACUUAUCACUUUCAUACUGGUACCGAGGUUAGUUGGGAAUACAACAUUGGCCCAACAUUGGGCCAACAUUGUAAGAUUGUGAUGAAAUUCGACUAAAAAAUAGAUUUUGAUAUCUAUAUUUAUGACACACGCACACACAAAUGCGCAUGACUCGCAUGUUUUGAAGAAGAGGAUGAUGAGUUAAUUAAAAUAAGCUACGUAUAUAUAGAAUGUAUAAUUGAUUUGAAAUAUUUAUAAUUUUUGUAAAAUAUAUGCAUACAUAAUUGAUUUCUUUUUUAGAAAACAUAUUAAAAAAUUAACAUACAUUCAAUUAUCAUUUGUGCAGGGAUGAAAAUUAACCUUGCAUAUCAAAAGAAUGAACUCAAAAGAGAAAGGUUAAACACAUGCAAAGAUUACAUAAAUGCUCUAAAGUGUUGGAUUUAGGAAGCAGAUUCUAAGAUAAGAGCACAUUUACUGACCAAGCAAUUAGGACAGAGUUUUUCACAGCUUGAGACUGGCCAGUUUCCAUGGUAAUCUUGAUAUCUGAUAUGUUGGGAUGGUCAAUCCUGUAUCUAUUUUACGCGUCCAGCAUUCUAGCUAAUCUCGGAGUUUUACUGAGGAAUAACGUGAAACAAGGCAACUGAAAAAGGAAAACUUAUUCCGGGGAAUCGUUUUUAUUGUGAAUUCAGAUUAAAGUAAUACGUCCUGGCAUACGUAUACAGAAAUGAGCUGCUCGAGCAAACCGAUUAUGUGCAGACGCAACACACAAUGAGAUAAACAAUGUUAUCAAAGAGUGGUUCCGGUACGCAUGUGACCGUGAAGGAGGUCGAAAAGAAAGAGAGGAAAGGAAAAAGAGAGAAACCAAAGCUCCCAGAAUGCAACAGAGGACAGUGAUUCAUAAUUGUGGAAGAAUUAAAGUGUAUGCACAUGUAUCAGACAAAGAGACAAAGUUAACUUGUUUACACUGGAAUGCAUUUAUUGUUUUAAUCAUAUUUUCAUUUGACCAGUUGUUAACACAAAUUAAAUUCAUUAGAUGUC
Molecule: long non-coding RNA, 1090 nt
Organism: Ostrea edulis (European flat oyster)
Lineage: Eukaryota; Metazoa; Mollusca; Bivalvia; Ostreida; Ostreidae
Exons: 2
Source: RefSeq, a predicted model, not a curated record